AGGUUAGGCAAGAGAGCCUGUCAGUUCUGAAAAGCAUCAUAGUAAUUAUCUCAUAGUACCACCUUACACAGUUUCUAUCAGAGUUACAAAAAGAAAUAGUACUGAGGAACUCCUGAAAGCUGAUUCUGGAUACUUCAGAGAUAAUCCAAGACUAUUUAGAGCAAGAAUAAUGUUCCUCCAAUCACUGUGUGCUCAGCCUGUGUUCUGCUGGUUGUUCCCACAAAUUUCCC
Molecule: long non-coding RNA, 230 nt
Filed under: Gallus gallus (chicken)
Lineage: Eukaryota; Metazoa; Chordata; Aves; Galliformes; Phasianidae
Source: RNAcentral